Molecule: non-coding RNA, 215 nt
Filed under: Halobacteroides halobius
Lineage: Bacteria; Bacillati; Bacillota; Clostridia; Halanaerobiales; Halobacteroidaceae
Description: T-box sequence
Rfam family: T-box leader
About the family: Uncharged tRNA acts as the effector for transcription antitermination of genes in the T-box leader family. T-boxes are found upstream of many aminoacyl-tRNA synthetase genes and some amino acid biosynthetic genes usually in Gram-positive bacteria.
Source: RNAcentral
CCAAUAGCUAAGAUAAGGAGUAGUAAACUAGUUAGCUUUUAUGAUAGAGAGUAAGGCCACAGGCUGAAAGCCUUAUUAAAAGAUGCUAGUUGAAUGCCCCUUUAAGCUGAGUAGUUGAAGGAACAGUAGACUAUUUCGUUUAACCAGCGUUAAUGGUUAAAAGUCGGUUUUAUGUUUAACAAACAGAGUGGAACCGCGGGCCUUUCGUCUCUGUA